GGCCAAUCUCAUGUUCUUCUAUUUUGAAGGGCUUUAUUAUCAUAUAUCAAAACGUGCUGCAGGCAUACACUAUGUGUUCAUUGGAAAACCUAUGAACCAGCGACCUAGAUAUCAAAUACUAGGGGUCUUCCUUCUAAUUCAAUUAUGUAUUCUUGCUGCUGAAGGUCUGAGACGUAGUAGUUUAUCAUCGGUUUCAACUUCUGCUCAACAAGCACCCUUUGGAACCUAUCAAACUUCUGCAGGCCGAGGUUUACCAGUUUUAAAUGAGGAAGGCAAUCUAAUAACUGCAGAAACUGAGAAGUAUGGAUUGGUUGCUGAAUCCACAUCAACCUCAGAGUCUCAAGGAAACAGUCCAAGCAAAUGCACACUUUGCCUAAGCAGCCGCCAACAUCCAACAGCCACACCUUGUGGUCAUGUAUUUUGCUGGAACUGCAUAAUGGAAUGGUGCAAUGAA
RNAcentral lists this unclassified non-coding RNA (454 nucleotides) under Hevea brasiliensis (rubber tree). The record is from RNAcentral. Lineage: Eukaryota; Viridiplantae; Streptophyta; Magnoliopsida; Malpighiales; Euphorbiaceae.